GGGGCCGACCGGAUUUGACAGCAAGGUAAAUGGAUGAGUAAGCAUGCCGAGCUUUGCAACAACGCUCGUUAAUCCCUGUUGCGAACAAUAACUGGCGAAAAUUCUUUCGCUCUCGCUGCUUAAUCGAAGUACAGUAGAUUAAGCUCUCCUGGCACAAGGUGCCGGGACGGGACACCUCUCGGGAACCUUGCCUUUCGGUUGCCGGUUCAGAGGUGCUGGAAAGAAAGGCUAGUUGUGCCACGCCUCGCUGACA
This 253-nucleotide transfer-messenger RNA is filed under the name Bacteroidota bacterium. Its description in RNAcentral is "Bacteroidetes bacterium (hot springs metagenome) partial transfer-messenger RNA". It matches the Rfam family "transfer-messenger RNA", at positions 1 to 229 of the family's 374-position model. Rfam says of the family: Bacterial tmRNA, also known as 10Sa RNA or SsrA, is named for its dual tRNA and mRNA-like properties. Its role is to liberate the mRNA from a stalled ribosome. To accomplish this part of the tmRNA is used as a reading frame that ends in a translation stop signal. The record is from RNAcentral. Lineage: Bacteria; Pseudomonadati; Bacteroidota.